UCUAAUAUGGCAGAAUAGUGCAAUGAAUUUAAGCUUCAUAUAUAGAAGAAAUACUUCUUUUUAGAA
This 66-nucleotide transfer RNA is filed under the name Embiophila sp. Its description in RNAcentral is "tRNA-Leu". The record is from RNAcentral. Lineage: Eukaryota; Metazoa; Arthropoda; Insecta; Hemiptera; Plokiophilidae.